This 1091-nucleotide long non-coding RNA is filed under the name Cavia porcellus (domestic guinea pig). RNAcentral describes it as "lncRNA (ENSCPOG00000031329.1)". The record is from RNAcentral. Lineage: Eukaryota; Metazoa; Chordata; Mammalia; Rodentia; Caviidae.
CACGAACUGGACUGCAUACUGGAUUAAUUCCCUACUUCUCAACAUGCCGGAGGUGCUAAACUUGUGCCGCUGGUUUGCAAACAACACCGGUCUCAUUCAUUUACCACAGCCCUCACAGGAAAUGCCAACACUGCUAGAUUCAUCACUGACAGAUCUGCUUGGAUUUGCUGCUGAAGACUAAUGGGGUUCAGGGUCCACAGCCCUCAUUAAGGUAUCCUUCUCAGAGUCCCAAGUCCCACUAGAAGUCUCAGCAAAUCAUCCCAAGGACUACAACCAAGGUGGAGCGGCCCAUACCUGGUCUUCUUGGCAACCUCAACAGUGGUCAAAGUUGUUAGACUGCCAUCCUGGUUUCACAUCACUCAGGCUAAGUGGUGCCCUCCCAACCCUAGAUCUAACUAUCAUUUUGCCCACUCAUCUCCACCUCACCAAGGCCUCACAGCCACAACUCUCAGGCUGUCAUGUUUUGUUAUCCAAUUUGGUUCCUAAUUUCUUACAUUCUACUAAUUAUCCUUUUUAUAGCAGGACUCUCAACAGUCUUUUCUAAAGACUCCCACAUCAUGCAUACCAGACACAAGCCUUAUCUACCCUCUUAACUUUUACUCUCUCAGAUGGGGAAUAAUCACCUCUCAUAACCCCACACUUACCUUUCAGAAUUCUACCUAAUAAUAACCUCUCAUAACCCUACACUUAUUUUUCAGAAUUCUACCUUACUGUGGCAAUGAUUCUACCUCAACCUGGUCCUGAUAAAAUGACAUAUCUAAAUCAAAGGCACCUUUCCUCCUACCUCACCUGGGUCCUUAAAUAUGAUAGUGGCCUGCCUCCUCAUCAGACCUUGUCUCUUUCUUUUUCCAGUCUAACAUAUGGGCAUUCACCAGUGAUAAAGUUGUCCUGAUUAAAACACCUGGCACCAGCUUCUACAUGGACAUCAACAGUCAUCCUGUCAACACUCCUAAACCCCAGUACAGUGCCCCCUUUCAGCAGGAAGCAAUAAAAGAAAGAAAAACUUCACCCUUUUUCCAAAUAAUAAAAAGACAGGAAUUAAAGGAUUUUGUGCCCUGGAUGGAAGCUGCAGCGGUGGGAGGCUGAACCAA